UACGUAGGGGGCGAGCGUUGUCCGGAUUUAUUGGGCGUAAAGAGCUCGUAGGCGGUUUGGUAAGUUGGAUGUGAAAUCUCCAGGCUCAACUUGGAGGGGUCAUUCGAUACUGCCAUGACUAGAGUUCGGUAGGGGAGUGUGGAAUUCCUGGUGGAGCGGUGGAAUGCGCAGAUAUCAGGAGGAGCACCGAUUGCGAAGGCAGCUCGCUGGGACGUCACUGACGCUGAGACGCGAAAGCGUGGGGAGCAAACAGG
RNAcentral lists this ribosomal RNA (254 nucleotides) under uncultured bacterium. RNAcentral describes it as "partial 16S ribosomal RNA". It matches the Rfam family "Bacterial small subunit ribosomal RNA", at positions 524 to 776 of the family's 1533-position model. The record is from RNAcentral.